GACGAACGCUGGCGGCGUGCUUAACACAUGCAAGUCGAACGGAAACGCCCUGCUAUUUUGCUGUUCUCGAGUGGCUAACGCGUGAGUAACACGUGAGUAACCUGCCCUUCACUUUGGUAUAACUUCAGGUAACUGGGCCUAAGACCGGAUAGCAGCUCCUCCUGCAUGGUGGGGGUUGGAACGUUUCGGCGGUUGGGGCUGGACGCGCCGCUGAACAGCUUGUUGGUUGGGUAGUUGCUGACCGAGGGUUUGACCGGUCGCCGGCCGGAGAGGGGGGACGGCGACAUUGGGCCUGAGAUACGGCGCAGUCUGGUACGGGAGGCAGCAGUGGGGAAUAUGACACAAUGGGCGGAAGCCUGAUACGGCAACGCCGCGUUCGGGAAGACGGCUUUCGGGGUGUAAACCGCUUUAGCUUGUGACGAAGCGUGACUGACGGUAAUGGGUAAAGAAGCACCGGCUAACUACGUG
RNAcentral lists this ribosomal RNA (468 nucleotides) under uncultured bacterium. RNAcentral's name for it is "partial 16S ribosomal RNA". It matches the Rfam family "Bacterial small subunit ribosomal RNA", at positions 28 to 507 of the family's 1533-position model. The record is from RNAcentral.